CAUUAGAUGGCUGAACAUCUAAGCAUUGGUCUCUUAAACCAAAUUAUAGUUUUUAAACUUCUAAUGA
RNAcentral lists this transfer RNA (67 nucleotides) under Paracaecilius japanus. Its description in RNAcentral is "tRNA-Lys". It matches the Rfam family "tRNA". From Rfam's summary of the family: Transfer RNA (tRNA) molecules are approximately 80 nucleotides in length. Their secondary structure includes four short double-helical elements and three loops (D, anti-codon, and T loops). Lineage: Eukaryota; Metazoa; Arthropoda; Insecta; Psocodea; Caeciliusidae. The record is from RNAcentral.